This 5045-nucleotide long non-coding RNA is filed under the name Sarcophilus harrisii (Tasmanian devil). RNAcentral's name for it is "lncRNA (ENSSHAG00000031035.1)". The record is from RNAcentral. Lineage: Eukaryota; Metazoa; Chordata; Mammalia; Dasyuromorphia; Dasyuridae.
AGGGGGGAAAAAUCGCAUACUUCCACAAAUUCUUUUGUUACCAUUCAAAAAUUGCCAGUUAGAAAUUGUAUUUUUUAACUCAUUUAAGUUUCUUUAGGUGCUUUAUUUAUUUUAAUUUUUCUAGCUCUAAAAGGGGUAACAUUCAGCACUUUUAUACUCUUGGUAUCCCUUUCCCUCUUUAACUCAAUUAACUCAAAAGUCUUUAGAUAUUAAGCCACUUUAGCGUAUACAUAACAACUAUUAAGAUUGUCCACAGUAUCUUUCAGCCAAAUGGCAGUUUCCUUGUUUGCAUUUACUCUUAUGAGAUUGUUACCUUGCUUUUUUGAGUUCAAAUUAUGAAAAUACAUUUGCUCCAGCCAUUCCUUUUAAGUCUAUAUAGCUUUGUUUCAAAUGUUUCUAAUAAACAUUUUGUUAGAUCCUGUUUUCUGAUCCAUUCUAUCAUCUUCUGUUUUAUGGGAAAGUUCAUCUCAUUCACUUUUAGUUAUGAUUUUUGGGCAUUUCCCUCAAAUUUAUUCUUUUCCUUCUUUGUUCCUUGCCCUCUCUUUACAUAGAAGAUGGGCUUGGAUGAGCAGUGUACUGACAAUGUUCUAAAAUUGAUACAGCUUUCAGUUUUCUUUCCUUUACCCAAAUCCUAAUCCAAUUCUCACCCUUUUUCUUUCUUUCCUUUUAAAUCUUAGUUCAUGAUUCCUGUUCAGAACUUAAAGUUUUAUUUUUCUUAUGAAUAAUUCCUCCUUAGAACUAUCUCUUCCUCAUCCUUUACUUUCUCCUCUCCCCUUUUCCUGGUGAGCUAUUUCUACAGCAAAAAUUGUUGCUCCUUGGACCAAAUUAAAUCAAAAUUUAAGAUCUAACUGAUGUCUGGUCCCCCAUUACAUCUUCCCUGGCCUCCUCCCCCAUUAGGUGAUUCUUUUCUUUACUUCUAGUGUAUCUCCUCCAUUCUCUUUCCUUUCAAAACUUAACACCUACUCCCAGGUCACCCAGCUUAGUUGACAAUCUCUUAAGAUCUCAGAUAACUUUACACUUCUUAAGGUCCUCACCUUCCCAUAAUAGAAUGCAAGACACUUCAACCUUUGAAAAACUUCUAAUUUGCUCACCUGUAUUUAUCUUUUUACUCCCAUGUUAGUAUUACAAAGUCUGAUCUUUUCAUCAAGUCUGUUUAGACAUACCCUAUUUCAUUAAAUAUUUUUUUUUCCUCCUAUAUUAUAUUUAACUUGUUGCAUUAGUUAUUCUUGAGUAUAGGCUUUAUCUUUUGCUUUUUAUAUUAUUGUAUCUCAUGCUCUUUGCAUCUUUUUUCCACAAAAGCAUGCUCUUCCCUUUCCCCACCUCAGAGAGUAACUUUUUUCCCCUUCUAGGAUCUUGUUCAUUAUGCAAUUCCCAAACUGUUAAAAAGGAAGGGGAUAGGCAGAAGGAGUUUAAGACUUGGAUGUGGUUCAAACCAAAUGCCCUCCUACAAAUUAGGAGUUAACUGAAAAGAUACACAUCAAGACAACCACUUAAAACUCAACUAAUCACUUUUAUUAAACAUUCAAAAGAAAAGUUCACACUAAAGAGUUUUAUUCCCAAUUAUACUAUGCUACAGACUACUGAAAAAGAGCAGCUUAUACUUACUGAUUAUCGGCUUUAGCCCUUCUUGACUUUUCCACACUGAUUGUUUUUAAAUUGACAAUCUGAAAAUCACCUAAGUUUUUAAGAAAUCAACUGUACUGAAUCAGCUUUUCAAUCCACUUUCUAAUUUUUCUGGAGUUAAGGCAAUUAGCUCAAACCUCUCUUGUCCUAUCUAUAUGCUUAAAUACAUUUUUUCAGGAAAAAUAUCUAAAACUGUCAGCAGUUAAAAAACAGUAUUUAAAUUGCCUUUUCAUCCCUUGAAAUUUUAAGUUGUAUAAAACAUCUUUCUAACUAGGGUAAUUCAGCAAAAAUUUCAGAUCACAACUCAACUUUUGUUACACAAGAGAAAUCCAGUGAUGAUACACAAGACUUUAUCAUUUGUAUCCUACUAGACCAGGAAACUGAUAUUUUCACAUCUAUUAGGAGACAUUUGCUAUUUCACAUGUUUUAUUUUCCUUGAUUUUUAGGCUUUAUUCUGAACCUGUCUCAUUUUCUUAUGAUACUGGUUAAAAAAAAAAUAAAUGUAACAGUUGUUGCAUCAACUUAUAAGAAUUACAAAGUUAAAAUGAAUGUCUCUUGAAUUCACCUCAUUCCACCCCAAUAAGUCAGUUAGGAAUUUUCCAAAAUAAAUCCUUUUCCUUUUUCUCUUAGGAAGAUAACAUGAUCACCAUCAACAUCCUUAUUUCACAUUUCUAUCCUGAUCUUCCAAUAAGAUACCAGAACUUGAGUUCUUGCCUAGGUAUAUAAUUUUUUAUAAGAUACCAAAACUUGAGUUCUCGCCUAGGUAUAUAAUUUUUUAUAAGAUACCAGAACUUGAGUUCUUACUCAGGUAUAUAAUUUUUUUAAUCAAAUAACUACAACUGAGGCAGAACUGUUUAAAAACUACUCAAUAAUCUUUCAAAACUUUGAGUUAGAAAUCACCUUGGAAAACAAGAAACAUCUUCAAAAAGCUUAGAAAUAAAAAAAAAAGGCCCUAAUUCACAGCAGCAUGAGAACUGCUCUUCUAAAUAUGAUCCCUACAAUCUUUGUGAAUAAUGAACAGUAACAUGAUCGUUCUCUAAUUCUCUUAGACCGGAUUAAUAAAUAGGGAUCUGCUCAGUCCCAACCAGCAAGACCUCAAGAAUCCAAAGCCACUUUUCUCCGCUUUUGUCACCUGAUCAUCUUUCAGCACGGGGAAUGUGGAGGUUUCCUGCUUAACCGCUGCGUAGUGCAGGGAAAUAAAUGAGAGUUUUGGGAUAAGUUCGGAUACUAUCUGGAUCUGUCAACAAUCCCGAGUUUUUGUUUGUUGCCGUUUUUUUGCUUUGUUUCGGUUGGUUGGGUUUUUUUUUUUUUUUUUUUUUUUGUAAAUGCGCGCUUCCCGGCCUCACUGGUUCUGCACGAUUUUCCCGUAGCCCCCCCGCCCGGCAUCAUAGUCCUGCCGGUACUCGUCGCGCACCUGGCCCCCGGACCGCCCGCGCCCGUACUGCCGGCCUUCCCGGAAGCCCGCGUCCCAGUCCGUGCGGAUGAUGCGGUCGUCCAGGCGGGUGCCGUUGAUGUAGCGCAUGGCGUUUUCGGCGUCGGCGCGGCAGUAGUACUCCACGAAGCAGAAGCCGCACGCCGUCUUCUUCACUUUGUCCAGGCCCAUGAUGAUCUUCUUGAUGUCGCCGCUUUUGCUGAAGAGUUCGUAGAUCUGCUCCUCCGUGGUGUAAAAGGACAGGUUGCCCACGUACAGAGUGCAGCUUUUCUUUAACAACUUUUCUUGGUCGUCCAUUUUCCCUCGGAAGUGCUGGUCGCGGUACCAGCCCAGCUCCACGUAGGAAUCGCUCUGCAGCGCGCUCAGGAGUCCCCCCGACAUGAUGGCGGCGAUACCGGGCGGGCGGAGGGAGAACCGGCGGGGAAGCCCAGAAACCGCAGCAAAGCGCAGCGGGCGCUCCGGAAAGCAACUUGGUCCUGACUGGCAGCGGCCUUCCGGAGGGCGCCGGAAGCCUCUCUAGCUGGGACCAAUCACGGGGAGCGCCGAACCGGAAGUGGUCGGCUGAUUAUCUCUCGCCCGUUCUAGCGAAAGAGUCGCGACUUUAAUGCCCCCUACUGUCGGAUGGUUUUCUUCAGCCGAGACCUUCUAGUGAAAAGUAAUAAAGGAAGUGGGGCUGGACUAGUUAGUUAUGUCAUGGAAAAAGCCGGGGGUCUUUUUCCUUUCCCGGCGCCCCUUUUCAGUUCGCCUUUGGGAAUUCCUCCUAAACCAUUUCCGUUUGGGCGGCACGAAUAAGAGAACCAGGCGGUCCCUGCCCUCAGGGAGCUGACGUUCUGAGAUUCCGUGAUUCAAUUACGCGGAACGCGGGCCGGGCCUGCGUAAUAAGGGAACAAGCGCAGGAGCUCUGGCUCUGGUUCUGACCCCAACGCUCAGUUUCUUCAUCUGUAAAAUAGGCAUGUAGCGCUUCUCUCCAAGCCCUUUGUGAAGAGGUAGAUUUGUAGUUAUCGUUAGGGUUUUUACCGAUGGGGGCGAUUGUGAAGGAAGCCCAGGAAAAAGAAAACAGCAUCAAAGGCUCCUUAGGAGGCCGUCCCUUAGUGAAUCUGGCUACAGUCAGGAGCGGAAGCGGAAGCGGAAGCGUCCAAUUUCUUCUCUUUCGUGAGGUGUUUCCUAUGCAGCCUCCAAACGGGGCCUGUCUUAAAAAGUGAGGCUGUACUAAACUCAGUAUUCACUAAUAUGGAACACCAAAGCACCAAUUAAGUAGGUUCUCUAUAUGCAUGUUACUAUUGAUUGUAAUGGUUAGCUAGAUUGACAUAGAGGCAGGAAGAUUCAUGUUCUUGAGUUCAAAUCUAACUUCAGACACUUACUAGCUGUGUCCCCCCAGGGAAAAUUACUUAACCAUGUUUGUCUCAAUUUUCUGUUCUGUAAAAUGAGCUGGAGAAGGAAAUGGCAAACCACUGCUGUAUCUUUGCCAAGAAAACCCCAAAUGAGAUCUUGGAGAGUCUGAACUUGAACUACUGAACAACAAAAAGACCACCUUCAAGUCAGUCUUCUUUAGGCCACUAUGAAGAAAUCUAUUUGGAGUCCUCUAAAACUCAACAUGGGAAUGAUAUCUGGGGCAGAACUAGGGUGGAUGAACAUUGGAGGAGCUGAAUCAUGCUACUGCUGCUGCGGCUGCUGCUGCUGCUGUUGCUGCUGCUACUACUAUUGCUACUGCUGUUGUUGCUACUACCCCUGCUGCUGUUGCAGCUAUUACUACUACUACUGCCAGUACUGUUGCUGCUACUACCCCUGCUGCUGCUGCUGCUGCUGCUGCUGCUACUGCUAUUACUACUAUUACUGCCACUGCUGUUGCUGCUAUUACCAAUGCUGCUGCUGCUGCUGCUCCUCCUACUAUACCUACCUCAUCCUCUAAGAGGAGUAAUUCUCUAGUUGUAUUGAUAAGGGAAGUUUCCUUACCUGGGAUUUACCUAUACCAAUAAAAUCAUAAAUCUAG